CCUACGGGAGGCAGCAGUGGGGAAUAUUGGGCAAUGGGCGCAAGCCUGACCCAGCAACGCCGCGUGAAGGAAGAAGGCUUUCGGGUUGGAAACUUCUUUUAUCAGGGACGAAGCAAGUGACGGUACCUGAUGAAUAAGCCACGGCUAACUACGGGCCAGCAGCCGCGGUAAUACGUAGGUGGCAAGCGUUAUCCGGAUUUACUAGGUGUAAAGGGCGUGUAGGCGGGAUUGCUAUGCAGAUGUGAAAACUAUGGGCUCAACCCAUAACCUGCAUUUGAAACUGUACUUAUUGAGUGCUGGAGAGGCAAUCGGAAUUCCGGGGGUAGCGGUGAAAUGCGUAGAGAUACGGAGGAACACCAGUGGCGAAGGCGGAUUGCUGGACAGUAACUGACGCUGAGGCGCGAAAGCGUGGGGAGCAAACAGGAUUAGAUACCCGGGUAGUC
Molecule: ribosomal RNA, 443 nt
Filed under: uncultured bacterium
Lineage: Bacteria
Description: partial 16S ribosomal RNA
Rfam family: Bacterial small subunit ribosomal RNA
Source: RNAcentral